AAAAUCUAUUGCAAGAGGCUAUUCAAGAGAAGUUUGCUGUGUUUGGUGAUGUACAGAAAGAUCAUCAAGCCAUAGAUAUUCUUUUAGCUGAAAUAGAUAUAUAUGAACUAUUUGCUUUCAAUCAUUGCAAGGGAAGGAAGGUCAAGCUUGCUCUUUGUGAAGAGCUUGACGAGAGAAUGCAAGAUUUGAAAAAUGAGCUGCAAUCUUUUGAGGGUGAGGGG
This 221-nucleotide unclassified non-coding RNA is filed under the name Hevea brasiliensis (rubber tree). Lineage: Eukaryota; Viridiplantae; Streptophyta; Magnoliopsida; Malpighiales; Euphorbiaceae. The record is from RNAcentral.